AUUGAACGCUGGCGGCAUGCUUUACACAUGCAAGUCGAACGGCAGCGGGGAGGAGCUUGCUUCUCUGCCGGCGAGUGGCGAACGGGUGAGUAAUACAUCGGAACGUGUCGAGAAGAGGGGGAUAACCACCCGAAAGGGUGGCUAAUACCGCAUAAAUUCUGAGGAAGAAAGCUGGGGACCUAGGAAUAGGCCUAGCGCUUUUUGAGCGGCCGAUGUCGGAUUAGCUAGUUGGUGAGGUAAAGGCUCACCAAGGCGAAGAUCUGUAGCGGGUCUGAGAGGAUGGAUCGCCCAACUUGGACUGGAACACGGCCCAGACUCCUACGGGAGGCAGGAGUGGGGAAUUUUGGACAAUGGGGGCAACCCUGAUCCAGCCAUGGCGCGUGUAUGAAGAAGGCCUUAGGGUUGGAAAGUACUUUUGUUAGGGAAGAAAAGUCAGCUGUGAAUAAUGGCUGAUACUGACGGUACCUAAAGAAUAAGCACCGGCUAACUACGUG
This 494-nucleotide ribosomal RNA is filed under the name uncultured bacterium. RNAcentral describes it as "partial 16S ribosomal RNA". It matches the Rfam family "Bacterial small subunit ribosomal RNA", at positions 30 to 507 of the family's 1533-position model. The record is from RNAcentral.